Molecule: ribosomal RNA, 344 nt
Filed under: uncultured eukaryote
Lineage: Eukaryota
Description: SSU rRNA
Rfam family: Eukaryotic small subunit ribosomal RNA
Source: RNAcentral
CCAGCAGCCGCGGUAAUUCCAGCUCCAAUAGCGUAUAUUAAUGCUGUUGCGGUUAAAAAGCUCGUAGUUGGAUGUCGGCGGGUCGGGCGCGGUUCGGUGUUUGCCGUUUACUGCGCCGCUUUGAUCCCGUGAUCUUGUUUGACGGAGGUUCGCCGGUGCUCUUAACCGAGUGUCGGCGGGUGCCGUCAGGUUUACUUUGAAAAAAUUAGAGUGCUCAAAGCAGGCUUUACACGCUUGAAUAUUCGUGCAUGGAAUAAUGGAAUAGGAUGUCGUUUCUAUUUUGUUGGUUUUCGGAAAUCGACAUAAUGAUAAAUAGGGACAGUCGGGGGCAUUCGUAUUCAGAC